CGGGUGCGGAACACGUGUGCAACCUGCCUUUAUCUGGGGGAUAGCCUUUCGAAAGGGAGAUUAAUACCCCAUAAUAUAUUGAUUUGCAUGAAUUGAUAUUGAAAACUCCGGUGGAUAGAGAUGGGCACGCGCAAGAUUAGAUAGUUGGUGAGGUAACGGCUCACCAAGUCGAUGAUCUUUAGGGGGCCUGAGAGGGUGAUCCCCCACACUGGUACUGAGACACGGACCAG
This 230-nucleotide ribosomal RNA is filed under the name uncultured bacterium. Its description in RNAcentral is "partial 16S ribosomal RNA". It matches the Rfam family "Bacterial small subunit ribosomal RNA", at positions 103 to 334 of the family's 1533-position model. The record is from RNAcentral.